This 238-nucleotide ribosomal RNA is filed under the name uncultured bacterium. RNAcentral's name for it is "partial 16S ribosomal RNA". It matches the Rfam family "Bacterial small subunit ribosomal RNA", at positions 118 to 351 of the family's 1533-position model. The record is from RNAcentral.
UGAGUAACCUGCCCUUAACUCUGGGAUAAGCCUGGGAAACUGGGUCCAAUACCGGAUAUGACUCCUCAUCGCAUGGGUGGGGGGUGGAAAGCUUUAUUGUGGUUUUGGAUGGACUCGCGGCCUAUCAGCUUGUUGGUGAGGUAAUGGCUCACCAAGGCGACGACGGGUAGCCGGCCUGAGAGGGCGACCGGCCACACUGGGACUGAGACACGGCCCAGACCUCCGUACGGGGAGGCAG